AGUUGUAAUUUGGAGACGGGACACUAGAGAGGAGGAAGGCGAUUAAGUGCCUUGGAACAGGCUGCCGUAGAGGGUGAGAGCCCCGUGAAUCGCUGGAGACCGAUCAAUUAGUGCCCGCCGAAGAGUCGAGUUGUUUGGGAAUGCAGCUCUAAGUGGGUGGUAUAUUCCAUCUAAGGCUAAAUAUUAGCGAGAGACCGAUAGCAAACAAGUACAGUGAUGGAAAGAUGAAAAGAACUUUGGAAAGAGAGUGAAAUAGUACGUGAAAUUGUUGAAAGGGAAGGGUAUUUGAUCCGACAUGGUGUUUAGCAGCGGCCCGUUCCUCGUGGAUGGGUGCACCUGGUUUACACUGGGCCAGCAUCGGUUCUGGGAGCCAUAUACGGGGUUCGUGAAUGUGGCCCUUCGAUUCUGUCGGAGGGUGUUAUAGCGCGGACAUCUUGUGGCUAGCCGGGACCGGGGACUGCGGUGACUU
RNAcentral lists this ribosomal RNA (469 nucleotides) under Brettanomyces bruxellensis. RNAcentral's name for it is "eukaryotic LSU rRNA". It matches the Rfam family "Eukaryotic large subunit ribosomal RNA", at positions 141 to 618 of the family's 3401-position model. Lineage: Eukaryota; Fungi; Ascomycota; Pichiomycetes; Pichiales; Pichiaceae. The record is from RNAcentral.